CAAGGAAGGCAGCAGGCGCGCAAAUUACCCACUCCCGGCACGGGGAGGUAGUGACGAAAAAUAACGAUACGGGACUCAUCCGAGGCCCCGUAAUCGGAAUGAGUACACUUUAAAUCCUUUAACGAGGAUCAAUUGGAGGGCAAGUCUGGUGCCAGCAGCCGCGGUAAUUCCAGCUCCAAUAGCGUAUAUUAAAGUUGUUGCGGUUAAAAAGCUCGUAGUCGAAGGUGUGUCGUGCGCCGCCGGUUCAUCGCUCGCGGUGUCAACUGGCGUGUCGCAGGACGUCCUGCCGGUGGACUUAGCUCUGUCGUCGUCGUCGCUUAUACCGACGGUGGCGGCGGAGCGGUCCAACUUCAAACGAUCCCACCGCGGUGCUCUUCGUUGAGUGUCGAGGUGGGCCGGCACGUUUACUUUGAACAAAUUAGAGUGCUUAAAGCAGGCUAAAAUUUCGCCUGAAUACUGUGUGCAUGGAAUAAUGGAAUAGGACCUCGGUUCUAUUUUGUUGGUUUUCGGAACUCCGAGGUAAUGAUUAAUAGGAACGGAUGGGGGCAUUCGUAUUGCGACGUUAGAGGUGAAAUUCUUGGAUCGUCGCAAGACGAACUUAAGCGAAAGCAUUUGCCAAAAACGUUUUCAUUGAUCAAGAACGAAAGUUAGAGGUUCGAAGGCGAUCAGAUACCGCCCUAGUUCUAACCAUAAACGAUGCCAGCUAGCGAUCCGCCGACGUUCCUCCGAUGACUCGGCGGGCAGCUUCCGGGAAACCAAAGCUUUUGGGUUCCGGGGGAAGU
RNAcentral lists this ribosomal RNA (782 nucleotides) under Hypobletus sp. 8 MSC-2013. RNAcentral describes it as "SSU rRNA". It matches the Rfam family "Eukaryotic small subunit ribosomal RNA", at positions 417 to 1124 of the family's 1831-position model. The record is from RNAcentral. Lineage: Eukaryota; Metazoa; Arthropoda; Insecta; Coleoptera; Histeridae.